This 846-nucleotide long non-coding RNA is filed under the name Daucus carota (carrot). Its description in RNAcentral is "long non-coding RNA (DCAR_LNC004716)". The record is from RNAcentral. Lineage: Eukaryota; Viridiplantae; Streptophyta; Magnoliopsida; Apiales; Apiaceae.
UGCUAAAUUGUGUACAGAAAAUGUGGAAAUUGAUGUGAUGAGUUUUAAUUGGGGUUGUUGAUGUAAAUACAGGAGGCUCAUUCCAAUUAAAACCCACCAAAUGGCAUUAUGUACAAAAUUUAUAAUAAAAAAAGACAUAUUUAUAAUAUACUAAUUUCAUUUGGCCAAAGUAAAGACCGGGCAAGUAAAAGUCUACCAUUUGGUACCCCGCGUCUGUCUAUGAUGGAUUCUUUGAAUAUUUCUAUCUAGACCAAGAAAUCAUUUGCGGAGAACCAAGUUCACUGAAAUCAUUUGCUGAGAACCAAGUUCCCUGAAAUCAUUUGCUCAUAAUUUCAGUGACAACAGCAACCCAUGCAGAGGAAGCUCUAAGCAUGCUUAGCAACAACUCUUAUGACCUGGUUCGAGCUGAGGUGCAUAUGCGGCACAUGAAUGGUUUGCAACUGCUAGAACACAUAAACAGAGAUUUUAGCUUGUCUGUCAUUUGUAAGUCCCUAUAUUACUAAAUAUAUGUAGUACACAUUUAGGGGUGCAUUUUAUAUCUAUUGGAUUAAGUUGGUAAGCAGUAGAGUAUUAACAUAUAUAGAACUUGUGGGAAGCAGUAAUGUCAGCCGAUGAAACAGAUAUGUACAUGGCAUUGAAGAACAGGGCACAAUACUUCUUGUUGAAGCCAAUACUCGCUGAUGACUUGAGCUCUGUAUGGCAGUAUUGUGAGUUGUGGAGAAGCAAAAGAAACAAUAUUGUCCCUCGUGUAACACAAAUCACUGGAACCUCUCAAGCAAUGGUGCGUAGUAGGAACCGUAAUGAUAAUAGUAAUAAUAAUGUCGGAGGGAUGUCAAUUUGUGAUGC